This is a long non-coding RNA of Silurus meridionalis, 1955 nucleotides long. RefSeq lists it as uncharacterized. NCBI's taxonomy places the organism in Eukaryota, Metazoa, Chordata, Actinopteri, Siluriformes, Siluridae. The record is from RefSeq and is a predicted model, not a curated record. The transcript has 3 exons.
CUCGGAUUUACAUUACUUUUAAGAAGGCCUGCUUAAUUGGAGCCUGGCAGGACAGUCUAAAUAUACCGCAGAUGGGCUUCUAUCAAGGUUUCUCCGUCAUACAUUGAGACUGUCAUCACUGGUUUGCAUAAAACGUGAGUCCAUCAGGAGCAGCAGGUGUGUAUAGCGGGCCUUUAAAUCCCAGCUUAUUCCCAGCAGGUGUGCUGAACAUAACGAGCCUUGGUAAGUGCAGGGAAACACAGCACAUCCAUGCUUCCAGCUGAGAAACACAAAAUAGAAGUUGAUAUUGUGCACAUCAAUGGCUGGUAAUGCUGGUUCAUUUAUUUUGCUGCUGCAGGAUUAUGAUGUGACCCUAUCCAUUAAUGGUUUGGCAGCAACCACCGAUCAGUAAUUGCACCAAAAAUGUCAAUUUAGUGCAAGACAGGAGGAAAAUAUGGCAAAGCAUUACAAUUCAAGUGCCAAAUUCAAUGACUAAAUUUACUGAAUGGUGACAAGAAUUUGUUUUUCUUAGCUAGAAAUAAGUCAAGAGAGGAAUAAAGAGUACAAAAAAUCAUACUGAGUAAAUGUAUAAAUUCCUUACUGCAAAACUUACUCCAUUAUAAGUUAAAAGUCACCAAUGUGACUUGAGUACAAGUGUUAGAGUAACUGAUUUGAACAGUACUUGAGUAUUUGACUCAUUUUGAACGUAGGCUCAAAAGUGCACUAGUCCUUAUCACCAAGACACAUGUUAGUGAAAAGCUAAAAGCUGUUAAUUUGUAAGGUUUUAUUUCCGAAAAUACAAAUUAAAUUGCACACCUCAACACUGCAUUUACCAAAAUCAACAUAACAACCACUUUACCAAAAUCUGCUCUUCUGCAGAAUAAAUUAAAUUAAUUGUAAUUGGUAACGGUCAUUGUCAAUUAAAAUAUAGUGGAGUAAACAUGCCAAAUUUUGACUCGUACAUGUAGUUGAUUAGAGAGUAAACAUUGCUUAUAUCUUUAAUACUCAGUAAAAGUAUGAAAUAGAUCGACUGUUUUAUGUGCCACAUUUGGUAUCUCAUACCAUCAAAAUUCAGAGCAUAGGAACAUUGUGUUUCCAGUCAAGUUUGUAUUUUAAUUUCUAUUAAUUGUCUCCAAAAAGAAUUCAAUUUAUGCAGAAACUUUUUCAACUUAUCUGCAUAAAGAAAACAAGCACUCCAAGCUCACAUAGUCCAGAGGUUAUUUAUUUAUUUAUUUUAUAUGAAAGUUUUUUUCCAUUUUAAGUCUUCUAUAUGAGUCUGUAUUUUAAAUUUAUAUUAUUUAAUCAUUGAAAAGAAUUUAUAUUGAUAUGAGUUGCGUAGUUGCUCGGGCCUGGUUGUGGUUUGGGAAAUGAAGACCACGCAACGUUCAGGAACAUGUAACAAACAAGAGUGUUGUUAGUGUGAACCCUCAAAUCUAAUUGAUUGGUCAGAAGCUAAAGCUAAAGCAGUGGCUGCUGUAAAUAUUUCUAUUUUUUAUCAGUAUUUUUAUGAUGAAAACAAAAAAAAUUUAAGACAUCGAUUUAGAAUUUAGAGUUUCAAAUGUCAGAGGUAAAACUGUAACUUAUGUUUUCUGAAACAGAAAAAAAAUGAUUGAUUUGAAGUUUGUUAGUAACUUUUUGGGGUUGGCUAUUUUUUUGUUUGUUUGAUUAACUUCAAGAGUUAGUAUGUAUUUUUGUGAAUUUUCUUCAGCAUUAAAUAUAACAUUAUUAGGUGAAGUUGGAGCUUAGUGGAUGAGAUGUUGGACUUUAUUAGUUUACUUUAUUAUUAGAUUGAAAGGUUAUUAGUUCAAAUCCCAUCAUUACCAAGCUGCCACUGUUGGGCCCUCAUAUAAAAUGAGAAAAUUGUUCAGUCAGUCUGGAUAAGGGCAUCUGCCAUAUUCCAUAAAUGUAAAUGUACAUAGAUAGGUGUGUCCCAUUCUUAAAUCUGAACCCAUGCCACCUGUCAACUUGCCAAAUUG